RNAcentral lists this ribosomal RNA (253 nucleotides) under uncultured bacterium. RNAcentral describes it as "partial 16S ribosomal RNA". It matches the Rfam family "Bacterial small subunit ribosomal RNA", at positions 524 to 776 of the family's 1533-position model. The record is from RNAcentral.
UACAGAGGGUGCAAGCGUUGUUCGGAAUUACUGGGCGUAAAGCGCGUGUAGGCGGAUAGAGAAGUCGGGUGUGAAAGCCCUGGGCUUAACCCAGGAAUGGCGCCCGAAACCAUCUAUCUGGAGUGCGGUAGGGGAGCGGGGAAUUCCCGGUGUAGAGGUGAAAUUCGUAGAUAUCGGGAGGAACACCAGUGGCGAAAGCGCCGCUCUGGGCCGUUACUGACGCUAAGACGCGAAAGCGUGGGUAGCAAACAGG